This 321-nucleotide ribosomal RNA is filed under the name uncultured Anaerolineaceae bacterium. Its description in RNAcentral is "bacterial SSU rRNA". It matches the Rfam family "Bacterial small subunit ribosomal RNA", at positions 1047 to 1382 of the family's 1533-position model. Lineage: Bacteria; Bacillati; Chloroflexota; Anaerolineae; Anaerolineales; Anaerolineaceae. The record is from RNAcentral.
GGCUGUCGUCAGCUCGUGUCGUGAGAUGUCGGUUAAGUCCGCUAACGAGCGCAACCCUCGCUGUGUGUUAUAUGUGUCACACAGGACUGCUGGUAUUAAGCCGGAGGAAGGUGGGGGCGACGUCAAGUCAGCAUGACCUUUAUAUCCAGGGCUACACACACGCUACAAUGGUCAGUACAAUGGGUUGCCAAGCCGCGAGGCGGAGCCAAUCCUAAAAAGCUGGCCUCAGUUCAGAUUGCAGUCUGAAACUCGACUGCAUGAAGUCGGAGUUGCUAGUAAACGCAGGUCAGCUAUACUGCGUUGAAUACGUUCCCGGGGCUU